RNAcentral lists this ribosomal RNA (500 nucleotides) under uncultured bacterium. RNAcentral's name for it is "bacterial SSU rRNA". It matches the Rfam family "Bacterial small subunit ribosomal RNA", at positions 28 to 509 of the family's 1533-position model. The record is from RNAcentral.
GAUGAACGCUGGCGGCGUGCCUAAUACAUGCAAGUCGAGCGAACCUUUGGGAGCUUGCUCCCAAAGGUUAGCGGCGGACGGGUGAGUAACACGUGGGUAACCUGCCUGUAAGACUGGGAUAACUUCGGGAAACCGGAGCUAAUACCGGACAACAUAUGAGACCGCAUGGUCUUAUAUUAGAAGAUGGCUUUUAGCUAUCACUUACAGAUGGACCCGCGGCGCAUUAGCUAGUUGGUGAGGUAAUGGCUCACCAAGGCGACGAUGCGUAGCCGACCUGAGAGGGUGAUCGGCCACACUGGGACUGAGACACGGCCCAGACUCCUACGGGAGGCAGCAGUAGGGAAUCUUCCGCAAUGGACGAAAGUCUGACGGAGCAACGCCGCGUGAGCGAUGAAGGUCUUCGGAUCGUAAAGCUCUGUUGUUAGGGAAGAACAAGUAUCGUUCGAAUAGGGCGGUACCUUGACGGUACCUAACCAGAAAGCCACGGCUAACUACGUGCC